This 354-nucleotide small RNA is filed under the name Sinorhizobium meliloti 2011. RNAcentral's name for it is "putative ncRNA". The record is from RNAcentral. Lineage: Bacteria; Pseudomonadati; Pseudomonadota; Alphaproteobacteria; Hyphomicrobiales; Rhizobiaceae.
AGGUGUCCGCCAUGUCCCCGGGCUAAACACUGGUCACAGGGAUCCAGCCAGGCCAGGUCCUUGGCCUGAAAAAACAUUUCCCGCGCCGCAGACGCGGCGCUGCUGGAUCUCUGUGACAAGCACAGAGAUGAGGGCCAGGAGAAACGCCAUCACCGAUCUCGCAGCAGCCGUCAUAAACACCAGAUGAAUCUCAACAGGCCUUAAAGCGGGAUGGAAAAGUAUGUGCGAACGGAAUUUCAAUUUGUUGAAGCAUUUUACCGGUCAUCGAUUCGGUGAAACGAAGAUGAGAACCGAUUUCGUCAGGUGAUAAGCAAAAAAAGAACCCCGAAGCACCGUCGCUCCGGGGUUCUUCAU